GUUUCAGGGCGAGGUGAAAUUCCUCACCGGUGGUGAUUGCAAAGCAUAAGUCCACGAGCCGCAAGGCUGAAUUGGUGAAAAUCCAAUACCGACGGUAUAGUCCGGAUGAAAGAAA
This 115-nucleotide non-coding RNA is filed under the name uncultured Eubacterium sp. RNAcentral's name for it is "FMN riboswitch (RFN element)". It matches the Rfam family "FMN riboswitch aptamer (RFN element)". Rfam says of the family: The RFN element is a highly conserved domain that is found frequently in the 5'-untranslated regions of prokaryotic mRNAs that encode for flavin mononucleotide (FMN) biosynthesis and transport proteins. This element is a metabolite-dependent riboswitch that directly binds FMN in the absence of proteins. Lineage: Bacteria; Bacillati; Bacillota; Clostridia; Eubacteriales; Eubacteriaceae. The record is from RNAcentral.